Molecule: transfer RNA, 64 nt
Filed under: Quadrella coronata
Lineage: Eukaryota; Metazoa; Arthropoda; Malacostraca; Decapoda; Trapeziidae
Description: tRNA-Ser
Source: RNAcentral
GAUUAUUUAGUUUAUAUAAAAACAAGUGUUUUGAAAGCAUUAGAAAAGUAGUACUUAAUAAUCG